Molecule: ribosomal RNA, 378 nt
Filed under: uncultured eukaryote
Lineage: Eukaryota
Description: partial 18S ribosomal RNA
Rfam family: Eukaryotic small subunit ribosomal RNA
Source: RNAcentral
CAAUAGCGUAUAUUUAAGUUGUUGCAGUUAAAAAGCUCGUAGUUGGAUUUCGGGUGGGACGCAGCGGUCUCGCAUUGCGUUUGUACUGCUGCAGCCCUCCUUCUUGCCGGGGGCGGCCUCUCGGACUUCACUGUCUGGGGGUCAGAAUCGGCGAUGUUACUUUGAGUAAAUUAGAGUGUUCAAAGCAAGCUUACGCUCUGAAUAUAAUAGCAUGGGAUAACACGACAGGACUCUGGCCUAUCGUGUUGGUCUAUGGGACCAGAGUAAUGAUUAAGAGGGACAGUCGGGGGCAUUCGUAUUCCGUUGUCAGAGGUGAAAUUCUUGGAUUUACGGAAGACGAACAUCUGCGAAAGCAUUUGCCAAGGAUGUUUUCAUUGA